Molecule: long non-coding RNA, 1591 nt
Organism: Lynx canadensis (Canada lynx)
Lineage: Eukaryota; Metazoa; Chordata; Mammalia; Carnivora; Felidae
Source: Ensembl
UUAUAAUUUCCUAAUUUUGUAAAUCAGCAUUUGGGCGUGGGUCUCACUCAACGAAAGUCAAGGUGUCAGGAAUUCUGCAUUCCUUUCUGGGGUCUCUCAGAGCAAAAUCUGUUUCCUUGCUUUUUAUAGCUGCUCCAAGUUAUCUUCCUUCUUUGCCUUUCCAUUCCUUUUCUCUGUGUUCAAAGCCAGAAGUCUCCGGCCACAUCAGCCGCCUGCUAUCUCUCUGGUUCUGUAUUCAGCUUGCUUCUUCCAAUUCUAAGCACCCAUGGCAUUUCAUUGGGUCACUUGGAUAAUCCAGGAUAAAUUCCCUUUUUAAAAUUCAGGUGAUUAGCAAUCUUGAUGCCAUCUGGAACUUUAACUGCCCUCUGUCUUGGACCCUAACCUAUUCGCAGAUCCGUAGAGAUUAGAAAUUAAAUAUAAUUGGGAUGGCAUUUUUCUGCCUAGCGCAGUAGGUCAUAGUGUUUUCAGAAUUUGAUAGAACGCUAUAUAUUUGCUGCUCUGUGCGGGGGAAGAACGUGUAGGCACAGUGUUGUACAUAUGCUCAGGGCGCUCCUGUACCCCAGGAAAGUCAUAUAUACUUUGUUUACAUAUUUCUUUCCUUCUGGGACUACUACAUAAAGCAAUCAUUGACUACGGUAGUAUAAACUGCCCAAUCUGGCAGUUUUAGUUUUCUUUCUUUCACUUUUCUCUCCUUGUUGCUUUUGUUAAUUGUUUGAAGGCUUACAUAUUCUUUGUGUAUGUUGUAUGGUGUGUGUGCAUCUGUGUUCUGUGGGGAGUAGAAAGUCUGUUAUUCAUGAAAGAAAUUAAACAAGAAUACAGAAUAGCUUUACUUUUUUCCGACCUGGGUGAAACUCCUAAAAAUAUUUUGUACGUACAUUCUUCGCAUUUAAGUCAUGUAGGAUGCCAUUCAUGGGUUCAUGGCAGUUUAUAACUUUAAGGAGUUUCCUAACAACAGGCAGAAAAAUGCAUAUUUUCAUUACCAUUUUAUAUAUCUGCAUGGACCCGGGCAGCGAUGUAACUGCAACGACCUGUGAAUUUUUUUUUUUUAAUUUAAAAAGAGUUUUUGUUGGUCAAGAUAGAAAAAACCUGACAUAAAGUCCACCCUGGAUGAAAAUAACAAUUUUAAGGGAGAGACACCAAAAUAUCAGUAUAAAGGCUGUUUCUUUCCUGGACGGCCGGCAUCAUGACCGUGGCAUUUUGCCAACGAUCACCUUUCAUUUAACAAGCCUUCGGAGAAUGCUCAGUACAAUUAAGUGACCCCGUCUUGGAGUCAGUGAUGUUCAUUUUUCAGUUUUCGUGCAUAGGCCCGUUCCCACUAUUAUUUGCAAGUUAUACUGCCUUAGGCAAAUAAAACUCCUAGAAGGGUACAAUGAUGAACGUGGAAAGCAACCAGUUUCUUUUUACCACAACAUAGCACUAACAAUGCAGUCCUACCAAAUUUAAGCCCUCUUUGCUUUUCACAGAAACUAUGUGUAAAGGACACCGCAUCACAGCAGCUUAAGUGAAACUUAUUUGUCGCCACUUUGGCCAGGCUUUUAGUCAAAAUGGGCGGUAGAGACAAGACACCGUUGACUACGUUGGACGUUUUUCU